UACGGGGGGGGCAAGCGUUGUUCGGAAUUACUGGGCGUAAAGGGCUCGUAGGCGGCCAACUAAGUCAGACGUGAAAUCCCUCGGCUUAACCGGGGAACUGCGUCUGAUACUGGAUGGCUAGAGUACGGAAGAGGCGAGUGGAAUUCCUGGUGUAGCGGUGGAAUGCGCAGAUAUCAGGAGGAACACCAAUAGCGAAGGCAGCUCGCUGGGACGUUACUGACACUGAGGCGCGAAAGCGUGGGGAGCGAACAGG
Molecule: ribosomal RNA, 253 nt
Filed under: uncultured bacterium
Lineage: Bacteria
Description: partial 16S ribosomal RNA
Rfam family: Bacterial small subunit ribosomal RNA
Source: RNAcentral